GUUGUGGGCGGAAUGAUCGCUGAGAUAACGUCCCGCAGUGGCGCAGCUUCCCUGCGCCUCAAUAGUAAUGGCCUCAUUGCUCUUCCCGGCAUUGUCGACAUGCAUGGUGACGCGUUCGAGCGCCAGAUGAUGCCACGUCCCGGCGUCGACUUCCCGAUCGAUGUCGCACUUGUCGACAGCGACCGCCAGGCGAUUGCCAACGGCAUCACCA
RNAcentral lists this unclassified non-coding RNA (211 nucleotides) under Hevea brasiliensis (rubber tree). Lineage: Eukaryota; Viridiplantae; Streptophyta; Magnoliopsida; Malpighiales; Euphorbiaceae. The record is from RNAcentral.